GUAUUAGUUAUGUUCUUGAAACUCAAAGAAUUUGGCGGUAUUUUAGUCUUUUUAGAGGAACCUGUUCUGUAAUCGAUAUUCCACGAUUUUAUUAACUUACUUUUGUUUUCAGCUUUUAUAUCUCCGUCAUAAGGAUAUUUUUUUAGAAUUAAUUUUCUUAAUUGUCUGAUACAGGUAUGUCAGGUCAAGGUGAAGCUUAUGAGUAAGUAGAAAUGGGUUACAAUAAAUUUAUUUAUACGGAUUAUUUAUUUUUUAUGAAAUAUGAAGGUGGAUUUAAAAGUAAAUUUAAUUAAUUAAUUUUUUUGAUUUUAGCUCUAAAAUAUGCACACAUCGCCCG
RNAcentral lists this ribosomal RNA (337 nucleotides) under Pseudagrion aureofrons. RNAcentral's name for it is "partial 12S ribosomal RNA". The record is from RNAcentral. Lineage: Eukaryota; Metazoa; Arthropoda; Insecta; Odonata; Coenagrionidae.